Molecule: ribosomal RNA, 406 nt
Filed under: uncultured bacterium
Lineage: Bacteria
Description: partial 16S ribosomal RNA
Rfam family: Bacterial small subunit ribosomal RNA
Source: RNAcentral
AUUGAACGCUGGCGGCAGGACUAACACAUGCAAGUCGAACGAGUGGCGGACGGGUGAGUAAUGUCUGGGAAACUGCCAGAUGGAGGGGGAUAACUACUGGAAACGGUCGCUAAUACCGCAUACCAUCAGAUGCGCACAGAUGGGAUUAGCUAGUUGGUGGGGUAACGGCUCACCAAGGCGAAGAUCCCUAGCUGGUCUGAGAGGAUGACCAGCCACACUGGAACUGAGACACGGUCCAGCCUCCUACGGGAGGCAGCAGUGGGGAAUAUUGCACAAUGGGCGCAAGCCUGAUGCAGCCAUGCCGCGUGUAUGAAGAAGGCCUUCGGGUUGUAAAGUACUUUCAGCGGGGAGGCGUUACCCGCAGAAGAAGCACCGGCUAACUCCGGUCCAGCAGCCGCGGUAAUUC